GUGGCGGACGGGUGAGUAACGCGUGGGUAACCUGCCUUACACAGGGGGAUAACAGUUAGAAAUGACUGCUAAUACCGCAUAAAACAGCAGCACCGCAUGGUGCAACUGUCAAAGAUUUAUCGGUGUAAGAUGGACCCGCGUCUGAUUAGCCAGUUGGUGGGGUAACGGCCUACCAAAGCGACGAUCAGUAGCCGACCUGAGAGGGUGAUCGGCCACAUUGGGACUGAGACACGGCCCAAACUCCUACGGGAGGCAGCAGUGGGGAAUAUUGGACAAUGGGCGAAAGCCUGAUCCAGCGACGCCGCGUGAGCGAUGAAGUAUUUCGGUAUGUAAAGCUCUAUCAGCAGGGAAGAAAAUGACGGUACCUGACUAAGAAGCCCCGGCUAACUAC
RNAcentral lists this ribosomal RNA (391 nucleotides) under uncultured bacterium. RNAcentral describes it as "bacterial SSU rRNA". It matches the Rfam family "Bacterial small subunit ribosomal RNA", at positions 95 to 504 of the family's 1533-position model. The record is from RNAcentral.